Molecule: small RNA, 434 nt
Filed under: Pongo abelii (Sumatran orangutan)
Lineage: Eukaryota; Metazoa; Chordata; Mammalia; Primates; Hominidae
Description: processed transcript
Source: RNAcentral
GCAAGACGGACUCGUGGAGACGCGCCGCCGCCGCCGCCGCCGGGCCGGGCCGGGUGUCGCGCGCCGAGGCUGGGGGGGAGUCGUCGCCGCCGCCGCCACCGCUACCGCCGCCGCCGCCGCCGCCGAGGUGACUGAGGAGAGAGGCGCCUCCUCGCUCCCGCCACCGCCGGACUUCAAUGCCCAGUCCCCAGCUCGCCAGCGUUUUUCGUUGGAAUAUACGUUGCACAUUUAUGGCGAUUCUGAGUGUGAGGGCAGACUUCUGCCAGGCUCAGCACAGCAUUUUCGCUGACAAGUGAGCUUGGAGGUUCUAUGUGCCAUAAUUAACAUUGCCUUGAAGACUCCUGGACACCGAGACUGGCCUCAGAAAUAGUUGGCUUUUUUUUUUUUAAUUGCAAGCAUAUUUCUUUUAAUGACUCCGGUAAAAUUAAGCAUCA